UACGGGGGGGGUAAACGUUGUUCGGAAUUACUGGGCGUAAAGGGCGCGUAGGCGGUUUGGUAAGUUACUUGUGAAAUCUUCGAGCUUAACUCGGAACGGUCAAGUAAUACUGCCGAACUAGAGUGCAGAAGGGGCAACUGGAAUUCUUGGUGUAGCGGUGAAAUGCGUAGAUAUCAAGAGGAACACCUGGGGCGAAGGCGGGUUGCUGGGCUGACACUGACGCUGAGGCGCGAAAGCUAGGGGAGCAAACAGG
Molecule: ribosomal RNA, 253 nt
Filed under: uncultured bacterium
Lineage: Bacteria
Description: partial 16S ribosomal RNA
Rfam family: Bacterial small subunit ribosomal RNA
Source: RNAcentral